GAUGAACGCUGGCGGCGUGCCUAAUACAUGCAAGUCGAGCGAAUGGAUUAAGAGCUUGCUCUUAUGAAGUUAGCGGCGGACGGGUGAGUAACACGUGGGUAACCUGCCCACAAGACUGGGAUAACUCCGGGAAACCGGGGCUAAUACCGGAUAACAUUUUGAACCGCAUGGUUCGAAAUUGAAAGGCGGCUUCGGCUGUCACUUAUGGAUGGACCCGCGUCGCAUUAGCUAGUUGGUGAGGUAACGGCUCACCAAGGCAACGAUGCGCAGCCGACCUGAGAGGGUGAUCGGCCACACGAGGACUGAGACACGGCCCAGACUCCUACGGGAGGCAGCAGUAGGGAAUCUUCCGCAAUGGACGAAAGUCUGACGGAGCAACGCCGCGUGAGUGAUGAAGGCUUUCGGGUCGUAAAACUCUGUUGUUAGGGAAGAACAAGUGCUAGUUGAAUAAGCUGGCACCUUGACGGUACCUAACCAGAAAGCCACGGCUAACUACGUGCCAGCCGCCGCAGUAA
RNAcentral lists this ribosomal RNA (515 nucleotides) under uncultured bacterium. RNAcentral describes it as "partial 16S ribosomal RNA". It matches the Rfam family "Bacterial small subunit ribosomal RNA", at positions 28 to 523 of the family's 1533-position model. The record is from RNAcentral.